AUGUGUGUGUGUGCGUGUGUGUGUGUAAACACAAUGUAUGUGUGUGUAUGUGUACCCAACAUGUGGAACCCUAGAGUGCACAAUAUGGCCGUCAUGCGUGAUGCCAGUGCACGUACACUGAAGUACCAUCACCACGGCGACCAACCCAUCACGGCCGAUUGUAACGGAGUGCGGCACGGAGUGAAGUGUCCGAGGAGUGUAUCUACAGAGCGUACAAAACGUGACAGAAGUACCCAUCACCACGGUAACCGCCAGCACUCAGCCUCCACCAGACAAGAUGGCAAGGUGGUGAUCAUCUGGCACUUACACUUGUGUCUCCAUACACACACAAAAACACCCACAUACACCCCCAUAACCCCCCCCCCCCCCACACACACACACAGACACACACAGACAAAACAAGCCCAUUUUCCACCAGCAGAUCCCAGGACCAGACGGGGCUUUCCCCUGCCUCUCUGCCAGACCUUUCCGGGACAUCGCUCCCACCUAUCGGCUGCUGUUUCCUGCCCCUCUGACUCCUGA
Molecule: long non-coding RNA, 522 nt
Filed under: Gadus morhua (Atlantic cod)
Lineage: Eukaryota; Metazoa; Chordata; Actinopteri; Gadiformes; Gadidae
Description: lncRNA (ENSGMOG00000033897.1)
Source: RNAcentral